AUUCUGUUUGUCUUGUGUUUCUUAUGUUGUCUAGUCAUUUUUUUGGGGCUUUUUCCAAGAUUAUCUAAAAAAGAAUUUGGCAUCCUGGAAGAUGAUUUAUUUGUAUGAUGUUCCAUCCUUCUGAAGUUUGUUAAGAAAAGAAUAAAAGGGAAUGUACCUUUUUUUUUCUUCCUUGACUUUAGUUUAUUCCUACCACCUAUGAAGGUGAUACACUUUCUAUUUUCCUUCUUAUGUG
This 235-nucleotide unclassified non-coding RNA is filed under the name Hevea brasiliensis (rubber tree). The record is from RNAcentral. Lineage: Eukaryota; Viridiplantae; Streptophyta; Magnoliopsida; Malpighiales; Euphorbiaceae.